Molecule: long non-coding RNA, 1237 nt
Filed under: Homo sapiens (human)
Lineage: Eukaryota; Metazoa; Chordata; Mammalia; Primates; Hominidae
Description: HSALNT0020983
Source: RNAcentral
AACAGAUGUUAGUAGUCAACUACAAGGCAAGCCAAGAUAACGUCCUAAACAGAAGUGCGAAGAGGUGUUGUAGGCAUACAUCAGAAAGAAGAAAUGCUUUUGACCAAGGAUCAAGGAAGGCUACAGAGAGGAAAUAACAAUGAGCUUAUUCGUGGGACUAUAUAAGAUAAGGGAGUGGAGUAUAUUUCAGGUUGAGGAAACAGCAUGAGCAGGCAUAAAUAUAAUAUAAUGUUUGGUGUGGGAGAAGCAGUGAAAUGUGAUGUCAAUGACUGGGGGGAUGUUCCAGGAGACUGGCUAAAAUAUUGUUGGCAGAAAAAUCAGGAAGGGCUUAGGAUACCAUGCUGAAGAAUUUGGACUUUAUAGGCAAUGGGGAUGCUUUUCUGCAAAGGGAAGAGAACUUUUGGGCAACUCCUCAAAUAUGAAAUCAAUGGGAGACAACCCUGAGUAAGGUUGAAAUGUUUCUCAUGACUAAAAAGUAGAGUGAGAAUAUUAUAGGCUACUUCUACUGGGAAGGGUUUGUAUAAACCAUAACCAUAUCUUUUAAAGUCCCAUUAGGCCUUGCUUCUAGUCCAUUAGUUUGGGAAUGUUAGGCUGACAUUUUUAUUCAUGUAACCCCAUUGUACUCUCAGAUAUUCCUGUAUCCAAGAGAGAUAAGUAAACCCUUAGCCUGAUCAUAGAACUUCUGAAUAUAUAUGGUUAGUUGAUGACACAUUUCUCUCUCCAGUUACCCAAGCUCCAUGAAACAAUCAUAAAGGAACAAAAGGACAAAGUAAUUGGGGGAAUAUAACAACAAUGAACACAGUUCCUUCCUGAAGAGACCACAGCAUGGUGCUGAAGAGCGUGAUCUCAGGAAUACAGAACUGGAUUUAAAUCCCUGCCUCAGAUGACUUUGUGAACCACGUAUCCUCUAUGGAAAUCAGUUUCUUCAUCAUUGAAAUGGAGAUAACUGGUAUUAUCCGCAGUGAUUUGCUUGCCUUUCUUACACUGUCUUGAUAUCUGCAUCUUUGAGAAUCCAAACUGACACAGUUGUCACCAGAACUGGACCAAGAAGGCAAGUGGCAAGAUGGGGUUUGGAAAUUGAAUCUCUGACCACCAUCUGGCUAUGUUUUACCUCAGUGCUAUGUUAACUCUGCCAUGCUUGUUGAUAAUAAAAUUCAAAGAGAUAUGGACCAUCUGGACAUACCGCAGGAUAUCAUAUUGAUCCAGUACAUCUGUGAUAUCAUGCUAAUUGGACAAG